CUCUUUCCAAGAUCGCAAACAACUAAAUGGUUACGCCUCAGAAGCCACACCUUAUGGAUGGCAUUCUCAAAGUGACAUCAAAUAUAAGAAAGAUGAAAGAAACUUAACCAACCUCAGAAGAAACUAUUUACAUAAUUACAAGCAGUAACUACAACAUUGAUAUGGGAAUAUGUGCAAAUCAUUCCUAAUCACUUACAACUACUUUGAAUGCAGGCCAUUAUACACAAAUUGAAUCCAGAAACCCAGUAUCAGGCAACUUAAGAUUGGUCAAGGAGAUAAAUUUUAAGUUAGCUUGUUAGAAGCUGCUCCUACUGGAAAUGGUACAUAUCAUCAUUUUCCAUGUCAUCAAGAGAGGUUGCUGCUGCUUCACUCGUCUCACCUAGUUCAGCCUGUGAAAAUAAUUGAACAACUCAUUACGGAGAUUGACCAUUCAAAAUUGAUCCACAGCAUCUAGAGAAGAUGAAUAAUAUCAUUUUCAAUAAUCCGUUAUGAAGCCAGAUUCUCUCCUAUGAUAUUUGACAUAACUAGUUUGAGCUACUUGGUCUUUAGCAGAUAAAAAGUGUAAGAAGCAAUUUAAUGACAUGGCUCUUGUUAGUUCCAUAAACUACAGUCAACAUCAGCUUAGAGAUAAGAGGCUUAGAUAAGACGUUAACCAGUUGGAUCACAGUACAUUUCUCAAAUUCCAUGUCAAUAAAAUAAAAAGUUUUGUUCUACUUACUUUGGCUUGGCGGUAACGUUCAAGCAUCCGCUGAUAUUGCUGGCGUGCCUCUGGAGAAUCAACCAUUGACAGCACGCGUGAGACAGACUCAUCAAUAGCUCCAUCAACUUUUUGUUUGCGGAAUACCUUGAGAAUAUCUUCAUCUUCACUUUCAUCAAUGGGUUCUACGUCAUUCCGGAAACCCCGCAAACCAGCUCCUUUGCGUCUCCACCUCAGCACAACCUUAUCUAGAAUUCCAACAGCCCAACAGAUUACCUUGUAGUGCUUCCUAACUUGAUAACCUCUCACGUGAGCCUGUAUCUUAACAACUUUCUGUCGAAAUGCUAGAAAAUCCUUGCGACCUUUCCACCCUCUAUAUUUCUUCUGAAUAGACAAAGCAGCUAAAUUGUAAUCACGUGCAUUGCGAAAGGCCAGUUUUGACAUAGCUGAAAGCCCUUGAAUAUCACCAGAAAUGACACCAUACUCAUCUAUACUAUUAGUAGAGGUAAGAGCUUCUCUCUCUUGUCGCUUUCUGAAAGAAUGUGCUCUGAAAGCAGA
This 1255-nucleotide unclassified non-coding RNA is filed under the name Hevea brasiliensis (rubber tree). Lineage: Eukaryota; Viridiplantae; Streptophyta; Magnoliopsida; Malpighiales; Euphorbiaceae. The record is from RNAcentral.